CUCAGGGGUUCUUGCUCACUCCCAGGACCUGUUCACGCGUGUCCACAAUUUGGUCCCCCUUGUGCCUGAAAACCUUCCAGGAGGACGCUCGCCUUCCACUGUCCACAGCCCCCAGAUGUAGAAACUGAAACCCAGCUUGGGGACCGCCUUCCUGAGGACACAACGCUGGGUAAGGCUGGGCUUGGCCCUGCUGGGGAAAAGGGGUCAGGGUGGGAUCUGGGGAGCAGGAAGCUGUCCACUGUAGGAAGAGGGGAGGGGAAGACCCAGAGAAAGCCCCGGCUCCUGGCCGCUCCCCAGCCCAGCCCAGCCUCAGCCCCAGGCGGGUCCAAGAAGAGUGUGUGAUGUCACGCCAGCCUCAGGGGAGGGUGCCGGCAGUCUUGCCCGGGCCACCAGCAACAGUGGCUCUCGAGGAAGGACCCGGAAGUUGGCCCGCAAAGCUGGCCCCAACCCACUCUGAUCUGUGGUCCCCUCCAUGGUUGCAGGAAGAGUGGUCUCUUUUGUCUUGGCUUACGAUCGUCCAGUCGGGCUGGACGUGGUGCCACACGCCUGUAACCCCAGCUACCUGGGAGGCUGAGGAAGGAGAAUCACUUGAACCCAGGAGACGGAGGUUGCAGUGAGCCAAGAUCACGCCAUUGCACUGCAGCCUGGGUGACAGAACAAGACUACGUCUCAAAAAAAGAAAAAAGAAAGAAAAAAAAGAAAAUAGUUCUGCUGUGAAAAUGACUGUUUGCAUUACCAAGAAGAGAUUUCAAAGUUAUCUUAAAAUGUUCCUGUUCCCAAGAAGCAGUAUAUAGUAAUAAAGACAUAUAUUCACCAAGAAUAACAUGUCCAGAAAGACAAGUUCUUAAAAACAGAAUGAGUGACAGUGGGCACACCAUGAGACUUAGUCACCUCCAAGAAGGACCUGGGUAGGAAAGGAGGGGCUGGGAGGGAAACUGCACCCCUUCAUUCCCACCCCACCCCAGCAAUUCCAGGCACAAACAGUUGAGCUCUGAGACAGAUGAAAGCUUUUCAGUUCUCAGAAGUCCAAAGGGCUGACCCACUUUGCCGGUUUGCAUGGUUUGCCUGGAGUGGCAUUAAGGCCGGCUUCUUUACAGUGUGUCUGAAAUACAAU
RNAcentral lists this long non-coding RNA (1114 nucleotides) under Homo sapiens (human). Its description in RNAcentral is "HSALNT0177403". Lineage: Eukaryota; Metazoa; Chordata; Mammalia; Primates; Hominidae. The record is from RNAcentral.